CUCUCCAUUUCCUUUCCAUUUUCCUUUCCAUCCUCUAGUUUCAAGUUUAGUCAUCUCCACGAGUUCAAGCAAGGCCAAAGAAGAAGAAGAGAAGCCGUGAGCACUUCCAUCCAUAGCCAUCCUUGAAGCUUGCUUUCGAGUUUCAAGAAUCCACAACGUGAAUCAUCCAUCUCAUCUUCAUCCACGGUGUGUACCCUCAAUCCCCGGAAUAGAACGAUCCCUAUUUGCUUAUACUACUAACGAUCUUUUCAGGGUUAAAUUAUGCGCUUGCUUUGAGCGUAUCACAUGAUGUUACCCCCAAACCACAGGGGGGAAGCUUAAUGCUGCAUCUGAAGAAUGUUGCAAAUAAUACUCCGUCUCGUGAACAAGCCCAAACUAUUCUUAGCGGCCCGACUAAAAGCCUUUCCAAAAGUGUAAAACAAUGCUAACAGGCUGAAUGAACGCAAAACUGGCACAAGAUCCACCUGACACUGCAGUCCAACUCCUUCAUGAUCCCAUUGAUCCAGCGCCUACUUCUUCGUCGACCAUUGAAGCUUAAAAGGUUAUUUCAUUAGGAACUGAAAAUUUGCAUCAAGAGUAUCAUAGAUGAAGUUAAGGAACAUGUGUACACAAGAUACAACUAAAUUUUGCACUCUAAAUAACUUUUGUCCUAUAUCAUCUUAACAAAGAAAAGAAGUUACCUUUACAAA
This is a long non-coding RNA of Rosa rugosa (rugosa rose), 689 nucleotides long. RefSeq lists it as uncharacterized. Lineage: Eukaryota; Viridiplantae; Streptophyta; Magnoliopsida; Rosales; Rosaceae. The record is from RefSeq and is a predicted model, not a curated record. The transcript is spliced from 3 exons.